Molecule: ribosomal RNA, 515 nt
Filed under: uncultured bacterium
Lineage: Bacteria
Description: partial 16S ribosomal RNA
Rfam family: Bacterial small subunit ribosomal RNA
Source: RNAcentral
UGGGGAAUUUUGGACAAUGGGCGAAAGCCUGAUCCAGCAAUGCCGCGUGUGUGAAGAAGGCCUUCGGGUUGUAAAGCACUUUUGUCCGGAAAGAAAUCCUUGGCUCUAAUACAGUCGGGGGAUGACGGUACCGGAAGAAUAAGCACCGGCUAACUACGUGCCAGCAGCCGCGGUAAUACGUAGGGUGCAAGCGUUAAUCGGAAUUACUGGGCGUAAAGCGUGCGCAGGCGGUUUGCUAAGACCGAUGUGAAAUCCCCGGGCUCAACCUGGGAACUGCAUUGGUGACUGGCAGGCUAGAGUAUGGCAGGAGGGGGGUAGAAUUCCACGUGUAGCAGUGAAAUGCGUAGAGAUGUGGAGGAAUACCGAUGGCGAAGGCAGCCCCCUGGGCCAAUACUGACGCUCAUGCACGAAAGCGUGGGGAGCAAACAGGAUUAGAUACCCUGGUAGUCCACGCCCUAAAACGAUGUCAACUAGUUGUUGGGGAUUCAUUUCCUUAGUAACGUAGCUAACGCGUG